CAAUAGCGUAUAUUAAAGUUGUUGCAGUUAAAAAGCUCGUAGUUGGAUUUCUGGGAGGGUGCCAAUGUCCGUCGUCGUACGUGUUGCAGCGGCGCCCUUCCAUCCUUCUGUUAACGACUUUGGGCAUUCAUUUGCCGGAGUCGGGCUCAGAUAUUUUUACCUUGAGAAAAUUAGAGUGUUUCAGGCAGGCUAGGCCGGAAUACAUUAGCAUGGAAUAAUGGAAUAGGACUACGGUCUCUUUGUUGGUUUGAGGGACUGCAGUAAUGAUUAAUAGGGAUAGUUGGGGGCAUUAGUAUUUAAUUGUCAGAGGUGGAAUUCUUGGAUUGUAUUGCGACGAACUACUGCGAAAGCAUUUGCCAAGGAUGUUUUCAUUGAUCAAGAACGAAAGUAAGGGGAUCGAAGAUGAUUAGAUACC
Molecule: ribosomal RNA, 415 nt
Filed under: uncultured eukaryote
Lineage: Eukaryota
Description: SSU rRNA
Rfam family: Eukaryotic small subunit ribosomal RNA
Source: RNAcentral